RNAcentral lists this ribosomal RNA (468 nucleotides) under uncultured bacterium. Its description in RNAcentral is "partial 16S ribosomal RNA". It matches the Rfam family "Bacterial small subunit ribosomal RNA", at positions 28 to 507 of the family's 1533-position model. The record is from RNAcentral.
GACGAACGCUGGCGGCGUGCUUAACACAUGCAAGUCGAACGGAAAGGCCCUGCUUUUGUUGGGUGCUCGAGUGGCGAACGGGUGAGUAACACGUGAGUAACCUGCCCUUGACUUUGGGAUAACUUCAGGAAACUGGGGCUAAUACCGGAUAGGAGCUCCUGCUGCAUGGUGGGGGUUGGAAAGUUUCGGCGGUUGGGGAUGUACUCGCGGCUUAUCAGCUUGUUGGUGGGGUAGUGGCUUACCAAGGCUUUGACGGGUAGCCGGCCUGAGAGGGUUACCGGCCACAUGGGGACUGAGAUACGGCCCAGAAUCCUACGGGAGGCAGCAGUGGGGAAUAUUGCACAAUGGGCGGAAGCCUGAGGCAGCAACGCCGCGUGCGGGAUGACGGCCUUCGGGUUGUAAACAGCUUUCGCCUGUGACGAAGCGUGAGUGACGGUAAUGGGUAAAGAAGCACCGGCUAACUACGUG